Molecule: long non-coding RNA, 234 nt
Filed under: Pan troglodytes (chimpanzee)
Lineage: Eukaryota; Metazoa; Chordata; Mammalia; Primates; Hominidae
Description: long non-coding RNA NONPTRT001617
Source: RNAcentral
CAUUUUAUUUUAUUUCUCUAUAGAAAAAUUAUUUCAGACUUUAUUUGUUGGAUUUAAAAUGUUUACCUUGGCUAGACACAGUAGCUCACAGCUGUCAUCCCAAUACUUUGGGAGGCUGAGGUGGGAGGAUUGCUUGAGCUCAGGAGUUUUCACUUUGAGCAUGAGCAGAACCUGAGAUUUGAUUCUAACCUUCACUGGGCAUGGCAAAGGAGAAGGAUGCCACUCUUGUGAUUC